This 1343-nucleotide ribosomal RNA is filed under the name uncultured bacterium. RNAcentral describes it as "16S ribosomal RNA". It matches the Rfam family "Bacterial small subunit ribosomal RNA", at positions 28 to 1378 of the family's 1533-position model. The record is from RNAcentral.
GACGAACGCUGGCGGCGUACUUAACGCAUGCAAGUCGAACGGAAAGGCCCUGCUUUUGUGGGGUGCUCGAGUGGCGAACGGGUGAGUAACACGUGAGUAACCUGCCCUUGACUUUGGGAUAACUUCAGGAAACUGGGGCUAAUACCGGAUAGGAGCUCCUGCUGCAUGGUGGGGGUUGGAAAGUUUCGGCGGUUGGGGAUGGACCCGCGGCUUAUCAGCUUGUUGGUGGGGUAGUGGCUUACCAAGGCUUUGACGGGUAGCCGGCCUGAGAGGGUGACCGGCCACAUUGGGACUGAGAUACGGCCCAGACUCCUACGGGAGGCAGCAGUGGGGAAUAUUGCACAAUGGGCGGAAGCCUGAUGCAGCAACGCCGCGUGCGGGAUGACGGCCUUCGGGUUGUAAACCGCUUUCGCCUGUGACGAAGCGUGAGUGACGGUAAUGGGUAAAGAAGCACCGGCUAACUACGUGCCAGCAGCCGCGGUAAUACGUAGGGUGCGAGCGUUGUCCGGAUUUAUUGGGCGUAAAGGGCUCGUAGGUGGUUGAUCGCGUCGGAAGUGUAAUCUUGGGGCUUAACCCUGAGCGUGCUUUCGAUACGGGUUGACUUGAGGAAGGUAGGGGAGAAUGGAAUUCCUGGUGGAGCGGUGGAAUGCGCAGAUAUCAGGAGGAACACCAGUGGCGAAGGCGGUUCUCUGGGCCUUUCCUGACGCUGAGGAGCGAAAGCGUGGGGAGCGAACAGGCUUAGAUACCCUGGUAGUCCACGCUGUAAACGGUGGGUACUAGGUGUGGGGUCCAUUCCACGGGUUCCGUGCCGUAGCUAACGCUUUAAGUACCCCGCCUGGGGAGUACGGCCGCAAGGCUAAAACUCAAAGGAAUUGACGGGGCCCCGCACAAGCGGCGGAGCAUGCGGAUUAAUUCGAUGCAACGCGUAGAACCUUACCUGGGUUUGACAUGGAUCGGGAGUGCUCAGAGAUGGGUGUGCCUCUUUUGGGGUCGGUUCACAGGUGGUGCAUGGCUGUCGUCAGCUCGUGUCGUGAGAUGUUGGGUUAAGUCCCGCAACGAGCGCAACCCUUGUUCACUGUUGCCAGCACGUUAUGGUGGGGACUCAGUGGAGACCGCCGGGGUCAACUCGGAGGAAGGUGGGGAUGACGUCAAGUCAUCAUGCCCCUUAUGUCCAGGGCUUCACGCAUGCUACAAUGGCUGGUACAGAGAGUGGCGAGCCUGUGAGGGUGAGCGAAUCUCGGAAAGCCGGUCUCAGUUCGGAUUGGGGUCUGCAACUCGACCUCAUGAAGUCGGAGUCGCUAGUAAUCGCAGAUCAGCAACGCUGCGGUGAAUACGUUCCCGGG